This 497-nucleotide ribosomal RNA is filed under the name uncultured bacterium. Its description in RNAcentral is "partial 16S ribosomal RNA". It matches the Rfam family "Bacterial small subunit ribosomal RNA", at positions 28 to 507 of the family's 1533-position model. The record is from RNAcentral.
GACGAACGCUGGCGGCGUGCCUAAUACAUGCGAGUAGAACGCUGAAGAGAGGAGCUUACUCUUCUUGGAUGAGUUGCGAACGGGUGAGUAACGCGUAGGUAACCUGCCUUGUAGCGGGGGAUAACUAUUGGAAACGAUAGCUAAUACCGCAUAACAAUGGAUGACACAUGUCAUUUAUUUGAAAGGGGCAAUUGCUCCACUACAAGAUGGACCUGCGUUGUAUUAGCUAGUAGGUGAGGUAAUGGCUCACCUAGGCGACGAUACAUAGCCGACCUGAGAGGGUGAUCGGCCACACUGGGACUGAGACACGGCCCAGACUCCUACGGGAGGCAGCAGUAGGGAAUCUUCGGCAAUGGGGGCAACCCUGACCGAGCAACGCCGCGUGAGUGAAGAAGGUUUUCGGAUCGUAAAGCUCUGUUGUAAGUCAAGAACGGGUGUGAGAGUGGAAAGUUCACACUGUGACGGUAGCUUACCAGAAAGGGACGGCUAACUACGUG